AGCCCUCAGCGUACAUGCCAGCUAAUUACAGAUGCAGGAGCAAACCCCUGGCCCAUACAUCAAGACGGGGUCUCUCUCUGUCACCCAGGCUGGAGUGCAGUGAUGUGCUCCUAGCUCACUGCAGCCUCAAACGCCUGGUCUGAAGGGAUCCUCCCACCUCAGUCUCCCAAGCGGCCGGGACUGCAGAUGAGGAAAUUAACUGAGAAAGAAGAUACAAGACCUGCCAAAUUCUUUUUUUUUUGUUUUGUUUGAGACAGAGUCUCACUCUGUCGCCCACGCUGUAGUGGCGCGAUCUCGGCUCACUGCAACCUCCACCUCCUGGGUUCAAGCGAUUCUCCUGCCUCAGCCUCCUGAGUAGCUGGGCUUACAGGCAUGCGCCACCAUGCCCAGCUAAUUUUUGUAUUUUUAAUAGAGACGGGGUUUUGCCACACUGGCCAGGCUAGUCUCGAACCCCUGACCUCAGGUGAUCUACCCACCUUGGCCUCCCAAAGUGCUGGGAUUACAGAAGUGAGCCACUGUGCCCAGCCUGACCUGUCAAAUUCUUGUCAAACUCAACUUCAUGUAACACUGAACUGUAACUAUCAAGUUAGAAUAUUUUUUUCAUUUGUUUGCAUAUAUAUAGACUUCAUUAAUCUUAAUUUAGUGAUCUCAGUUAAGAA
RNAcentral lists this non-coding RNA (659 nucleotides) under Pan troglodytes (chimpanzee). Lineage: Eukaryota; Metazoa; Chordata; Mammalia; Primates; Hominidae. The record is from RNAcentral.